GAUGAACGCUAGCGAUAGGCUUAACACAUGCAAGUCGAGGGGUAACAGGGUAGCAAUACCGCUGACGACCGGCGCACGGGUGCGUAACACGUAUGCAACCUGCCCCAUACACCGGGAUAGGCUUUCGAAAGGGAGAUUAAUACCGGAUAAAACAGGGUAUCCGCCUGGAUAAAUUAGUUAAAGGGUUACCGGUAUGGGAUGGGCAUGCGCAGGAUUAGAUAGUUGGCAGGGUCACGGCCUACCAAGUCGACGAUCCUUAGGGGAACUGAGAGGUUUAUCCCCCACACUGGUACUGAGACAGGGACCAGACUCCUACGGGAGGCAGCAGUGAGGAAUAUUGGUCAAUGGACGAGAGUCUGAACCAGCCAAAUCGCGUGAAGGAAGACGGUAUUAUGUAUUGUAAACUUCUUUUGCAGGGGGGUAAAAUCCGGGACGUGUCCCGGUUUGCAAGUACCCUGCGAAUAAGCAUCGGCUAACUCCGUGCCAGCAGCCGCGGUAAUACGGAGGAUGCAAGCGUUAUCCGGAUUUAUUGGGUUUAAAGGGUGCGUAGGUUGACUGGUAAGUCAGCGGUGAAAUCCUGUUGCUUAACAACAGCACUGCCGUUGAAACUGCCGGUCUUGAGUGUAAACGAGGCAGGCGGAAUUCGUAAUGUAGCGGUGAAAUGCAUAGAUAUUACGAAGAACCCCGAUAGCGCAGGCAGCUUGCCAGGCUACAACUGACACUGAAGCACGAAAGUGUGGGUAUCAAACAGGAUUAGAUACCCUGGUAGYCCACACAGUAAACGAUGAUCACUCGCUGUUUGCGAUACACAGUAAGCGGCUUAGCGAAAGCGUUAAGUGAUCCACCUGGGGAGUACGCCGGCAACGGUGAAACUCAAAGGAAUUGACGGGGGCCCGCACAAGCGGAGGAACAUGUGGUUUAAUUCGAUGAUACGCGAGGAACCUUACCCGGGCUCGAACGGCUUUUGCAUGUAUAUGAAAAUAUACAGUCAGCGAUGACAAAAGUCGAGGUGCUGCAUGGUUGUCGUCAGCUCGUGCCGUGAGGUGUCGGCUUAAGUGCCAUAACGAGCGCAACCCCUACCGGAAGUUACCACCAGGUUAAGCUGGGGACUCUGCCGGGACUGCCACCGUAAGGUGUGAGGAAAGUGGGGAUGACGUCAAAUCAGCACGGCCCUUACGUCCGGGGCUACACACGUGUUACAAUGGGUGGGACAGAGGGCAGCAACCUGGCGACAGGACGCCAAUCUCGAAACCCACUCCCAGUUCGGAUUGGAGUCUGCAACCCGACUCCAUGAAGCCGGAUUCGCUAGUAAUCGCGCAUCAGCCAUGGCGCGGUGAAUACGUUCCCGGGCCUU
RNAcentral lists this ribosomal RNA (1354 nucleotides) under uncultured bacterium. Its description in RNAcentral is "bacterial SSU rRNA". It matches the Rfam family "Bacterial small subunit ribosomal RNA", at positions 28 to 1382 of the family's 1533-position model. The record is from RNAcentral.